GGGAAAUGUGUCGGCACUCGGCUGUAUUUCAACACGGAGGACGUCUGGGAGCAGCAAAAAGAAAUUCAACUGAUGAUAUUCAACUGUCGAAGUGAAGAAGAAUUCGUCAUUGAGCUGAUGGAAAAUGUGUUGGCACUCGGCUGUAUUUCAACACGGAGGACGUCUGGCAGGAGCAAAAAGAAAUUCAACUGAUGAUAAUCAACUGUCCAAGUGAAGAAGAAUUCGUCAUUGAGCUGAUGGAAAAUGUGUCGGCACUCGGCUGUAUUUCAACACGGAGGACGUCUGGGAGCAGCAAAAAGAAAUUCAACUGAUGAUAUUCAACUGUCGAAGAAUAUUUAUUACUGAAGAAGAAUUCGUCAUUGAGCUGAUGGAAAAUGUGUCGGCACUUGGCUGUAUUUCAACACGAAGGACGUCUGGCAGCAGCAAAAAGAAAUUCAACUGACGAUAAUCAUCUGUCGAAGUGAAGAAGAAUUUGUCACAAAACUGAUGGGAAAUGUGUCGGCACUCGUCUUCGUUUCAACCCUGAGGAAGAUUGGCAGCAUCAAUAAGAAGCUCAUCUUAGUUAAGUUGUCCCCCCCUUUACGCAUUAGCGCUCAUCUCUCAUCCACUCAUCCAACACAUUUACUAUCGCCGGCCGGCAACACACACAUAUUAUACACAUUACCCGUUUUAUAUUAUAUAAAAUUAUUAAUAUCUACAUAGUUUAAGUUAUUGUAUAUUUUUUUUUUAUUAUUUGAAUGCAUUCAUAUGAUCAGUUGCGUAUUUAGAAAUUUUAGGAUAAGAGCAACACAUAUUUUGUUGCCUCCCCCCCAUUAAAUAAAAAAUUAAAAAAACUUCUA
Molecule: long non-coding RNA, 839 nt
Organism: Rhopalosiphum padi (bird cherry-oat aphid)
Lineage: Eukaryota; Metazoa; Arthropoda; Insecta; Hemiptera; Aphididae
Exons: 5
Source: RefSeq, a predicted model, not a curated record